GCUUAUUUGACUCUAAAAGUAAUUAUCAGGAGUUUAAAAAGUCAUUUUGUCAAUAUUUAAACUAGUUAAAAUUGAUAAUCAAAGUAAGUCACUUUGAAGCAAUAUGCUAAUUUUUUGGGCUUCUUUUUUCAUUUUGCGUUAAAUUUUUGGCAAAAGACCCUUUUAAGCCCCUGUUAAAUAGUUUAAUAGUCAUAUAACCCUUAGUUAAUCCAUUUGGUCCAUUUAAGCCCCUAUGAAUAUUAAAAAUAAAAAAAAGCAUAAAAAAGCCCCAACCUAACACUGUCAACUCUCCAUUAAAAUUUAUGUUUUAUAUAACAAAAUAAAGUUAAUACUUUCUUUUGCCAUAGUAGGAGAACUCCACUAUCCUACUACGACUA
Molecule: unclassified non-coding RNA, 377 nt
Filed under: Hevea brasiliensis (rubber tree)
Lineage: Eukaryota; Viridiplantae; Streptophyta; Magnoliopsida; Malpighiales; Euphorbiaceae
Source: RNAcentral